This 406-nucleotide ribosomal RNA is filed under the name uncultured bacterium. RNAcentral's name for it is "partial 16S ribosomal RNA". It matches the Rfam family "Bacterial small subunit ribosomal RNA", at positions 30 to 526 of the family's 1533-position model. The record is from RNAcentral.
AUUGAACGCUGGCGGCAGGCCUAACACAUGCAAGUCGAACGAGUGGCGGACGGGUGAGUACUGUCUGGGAAACUGCCCGAUGGAGGGGGAUAACUACUGGAAACGUUAGCUCAUACCGACUACCAUCGGAUAUGCCCAGCUGGGAUUAGCUUGUAGGUGAGGGAACGGCUCACCUAGACGACGAUCCCUAUCUGGGCUGAGAGGAUGACCAGCCACACGGGAACGUAGACACGGUCCAGACGCCGACGGGAGGCAGCAGUGGGGAAUAUUGCACAAUUGGCGCAAGCCUGAUGCAGCCAUGCCGCGUGUAUGAAGAAGGCCUUCGGGUUGUAAAGUACUUUCAGCGGGGAGGCGUUACCCGCAGAAGAAGCACCGGCUAACUCCGUGCCAGCAGCCGCGGUAAUUC